RNAcentral lists this long non-coding RNA (1305 nucleotides) under Androctonus crassicauda. The record is from RNAcentral. Lineage: Eukaryota; Metazoa; Arthropoda; Arachnida; Scorpiones; Buthidae.
AUACAUUGUUAAAGUUUGAAGAGAGUUAAAAAAGAGAGGAAAAAAAAAAAAAAGAGAAAGUAAAUAAAUAAACGUUCACAACUCUAUAUAGAGAUGCUAGAAGUCGAAACAUAUAAUUACUAUGCAGAAAUUGUAAUAUUGUAUUUCAGUAUAUGGACGAGUACCAAAAAAAAAAAAAAUGACAUUUUAAGUUUUCACUCAGAAAAAAAUUUUUUUCGAGGGCCGGUUUUUGACAAUUCAGUGAAAAUUUCCAGAUUAAAAGCAAUGCAAAGGGAUUUAAUCUUAUUUCCGAUUCUGUCAGUGUCUUUUUUUGGAACCUAGCACUUUUACCAAGAUGUUAUGGCAAGAAAGUAAAUUCGGCUACAGAAAGCGACUUUUAGCAUAAAACGUUAUUUCAAUACACAUCACGUCUGACUAGACUAUGUAUAGCAACAAUGAUUCAUCGGCUUAGCAAAGCACAACAUUAAAUCAGGGAACGUACUUUAUUCCAAAAUAGUUGACACUUCGAGUGAUUUACACAAUUUUGAAUACACAUAUAUAUAUAUACAUGUAUAUAUAUAUAUUGGCUUAAUAGAAAAACAAUUUUUUUAAUUCUUUUAACUGCUUUAAAACCGAUUAAAAAAUUUGCCAAAUAAGAAAAAACAUUUUUAAUCGUAUUUGGCUUUGGAUGACAUUUUUUCUUAUUAUCGACCUAUCUGAAGAGAAGAAAGGAUUAAAAAAAAAUCGUAAAUAUUCUCCAGUUAACUUUUCAACGUUUCGACAGUUUUCUGAAUACUUAACGUAAUGAAAACUUACUGAAAAAAAAGAUAAUUUGUGUAUAUUUAUGGUUUACAAUUUGUAUUAUUUUAAACGUGGAAGCAAUCCUACAAAAUGGGGAAAAAAAAAGUUGCUCAUGAUGGUAAUUAAUUUUAUUAUUAUUAUUUUUUAUUGAUUUGAUUGUAAAUUAUAAACGUGUUUGAUUAUCGUCUUCCUAACAUAAACGUAGUAUUAUCGAUAAAUAUGUGAUCAGCGCUUUAUUGCCGUCCAAUAUUAAUCCUUAUCAGUUGCUGUUUCGAUAUGUUAACAAAAAAAAAAAAAAAAACAAGAGUUAUAAACAAAGUAGAAGAGUUAAAGUUUGAAAAUAAUUUAGUAUAUAAUGUGCUUAAAAAAAUCCGAACGAAUAAUUACUGUUAACUCAAAAAAAAUUUAGUAUUUUUAAUUUUUUUUUUAAGUUAACAUCAGCAAAACUUUAAUCGCUAUUUAUCUGAAACGUUUGUUAACAAGAAUGUAUGAAAUUUCACACAAAAAUCUUUUCGCAACUUUUGU